AAAAAAUUAGUUAAAGGUAUAUAACAUUAGUUUGUCAAACUAAAAUUAUCAACUUAUUGAUAUUUUUUA
Molecule: transfer RNA, 69 nt
Filed under: Aldrichina grahami
Lineage: Eukaryota; Metazoa; Arthropoda; Insecta; Diptera; Calliphoridae
Also listed under: 1 other name
Description: tRNA-Asp
Rfam family: tRNA
About the family: Transfer RNA (tRNA) molecules are approximately 80 nucleotides in length.
Source: RNAcentral